Long non-coding RNA from Limanda limanda (common dab), 442 nucleotides. RefSeq lists it as uncharacterized. The transcript is spliced from 3 exons. NCBI's taxonomy places the organism in Eukaryota, Metazoa, Chordata, Actinopteri, Pleuronectiformes, Pleuronectidae. The record is from RefSeq and is a predicted model, not a curated record.
GCCCCCCCCCACACACACACAAACUAAGAGGCGUUAGGCUGAGACGCUGAAAGUCCGGAUUUAAAGUGCAGAAAAUUAAGCCAUUGAAUCUGCCUGUCCAUGACGUACAAAGACACACUAUGAGCCAGUAUGAUCCGACCAGACCUUACAUCAGCAUUGAGGAGUUGUCGGAGAAGAAAGAGGCUGAUUGAAGCGGGACAGAUGACAUGGAUCCAUCCUUCCACAGCCAGGAGCACACCGACCUGUGUCCCACACUUCAUAUAAGACUGGAAGCUACACUGGAUCUCACAGCUACACACCACAACCGUCUACACACUGGAGAAGAUUCAGACAGAGUCCCACAAAGAAGUCAUGACCCAGAGGCUGCAGAGAAACAUUUCAAGCCUCAUCUGAGUUUUUGUACAAUAUUUUUGCUGUAUGUAAAUAAAGCUUUCACUCCACA